Meleagris gallopavo (turkey) is the source of this 1542-nucleotide long non-coding RNA. RefSeq lists it as uncharacterized. Lineage: Eukaryota; Metazoa; Chordata; Aves; Galliformes; Phasianidae. The record is from RefSeq and is a predicted model, not a curated record.
GGUUUCUUUCUGGUAAGAGGCAGGAGGUCAUUGCUGAAUUAAAUACUUAACAAAGCUACCUGGCCUUGCAACCACAAUACUGAUUGAAGUCCUGAAGCAAGAUAUGUGCAUGAGCUCGCUGUCAGUGCUCCUCACUUCUGCACUGGGAUAACUUGAAAAGCCAAGGAGAGGUAGAAAUAAAAGUAGAACUUAACAGUGCCGUGCUGAUUCGAGACUAGAAAGUGUGAGGAGGAAGUAAUAAACUUAUCUUUUCCUUUUGUCACUCAGCAAAUUCACAGAGUUGUCCCUGGAGAGAGCAAUGUUCAUGUGGCAUUACAGCAAAUGAUUCCGCUGCCUCAACCACAAACUAAAAAACCUCUGAUGCUCUCCAACCCCUUCCUCUGUUUCAUUUCCUCUCCAGGCAGGACUUCAGUUCAAGUCUGACAUCCUUUGGGGACUUUGCAAUGAAUAAGACUAUUGCAGUUGUUCUAGAGCUUUCUUAAGCUUUCCUUGGAGAAACUACCCAAGUAUCCAGCAAUAUGUGUGAACCAAGACCAAAAAGCUGUGUGUAUCUGCCAAAAGAUGGGGCUGAGAGAAAACCUGGAACGUAGAGUUAAAAUUCAUUCUGUUUCUCACACAGGAGCUGCUACAUCUAGAGUGAUGCUAUUAAAAAGAGCUGGCUUGGGGCAACCAAGUGCUGGAGGAGGUUCCGAAGCAGUGCUUCAGGAUGUAACAGCCCUGCUGUUAUGGGUAAUGGGAGUGGGUGCUGCGAGGACAGGUUUGUUCUCUUCUUGUGCAAUGGUUCUUUAGGAGGCUGCAAUAAUUCCAUCUUUAGUUUCUUUAUUAGUAGACAAAAUACGUGGUUCACAGAUUCAAUGUUAAUAAUGCGGAGCAACUCUGACCUUUCAGAUUCUAGUGCUGGAAAUCCAAGGAACCUUUCCAACUGUGUACUAUUACAGAUUGGUUGAUCUGCUGUAGUUCUGUAUUAUUCUGGAUGUAAAAAAAGGCACAAUGACACAGCAGUACAGCAUAGUAUAAAGCCUCAUGGUGGUUUAACCCGACUCCUAAUUCAAGCUGCUGCUGUGACACAGAAACAAGACCUAAAGUAGGCAUGUGAGGAUACUCAAGUUUGUUUUUCUCCUUUUGGGUCCCUUUAGGCAUGGUGGUUUUAGCCAUAGAAAUUCUGAGUGCUGGGAGAAUUCCACCAGAGCUCUAAAGCUUAGGGUUCUUGCUAGUCUGGGGCAUGGUGUUGGAGGAAGUGCUAUGCUCUCCCUUACCUAUAUUGUUUUUAUAGCAGAGCUCCUUGGAAUUUGCUACCUUGAAAAAUAAGCUGGGGAACUCAGUCAUCCCCAGCUCCUUUCACUGGGAAUCCCUCCAGUGGCAAGAAAUGAGAUGAAGUCUUAAGAAAAGCAGUGUGAGAAGUAUCUUUCUGAGCUGCUGAACACUGACGUGGGCUGCGUGAGGCAGAACCUUACAGGGUUAAAAGUCUGAUCCGAUGCCUGCUGUACACACAGUCAUCAAGUGAGUGCAGCGAACGCCUCUCAGAACACAAAGCAAUAUCAG